Molecule: ribosomal RNA, 2773 nt
Filed under: Escherichia coli
Lineage: Bacteria; Pseudomonadati; Pseudomonadota; Gammaproteobacteria; Enterobacterales; Enterobacteriaceae
Description: bacterial LSU rRNA
Rfam family: Bacterial large subunit ribosomal RNA
Source: RNAcentral
AGCGUACACGGUGGAUGCCCUGGCAGUCAGAGGCGAUGAAGGACGUGCUAAUCUGCGAUAAGCGUCGGUAAGGUGAUAUGAACCGUUAUAACCGGCGAUUUCCGAAUGGGGAAACCCAGUGUGAUUCGUCACACUAUCAUUAACUGAAUCCAUAGGUUAAUGAGGCGAACCGGGGGAACUGAAACAUCUAAGUACCCCGAGGAAAAGAAAUCAACCGAGAUUCCCCCAGUAGCGGCGAGCGAACGGGGAGCAGCCCAGAGCCUGAAUCAGUGUGUGUGUUAGUGGAAGCGUCUGGAAAGGCGCGCGAUACAGGGUGACAGCCCCGUACACAAAAAUGCACAUGCUGUGAGCUCGAUGAGUAGGGCGGGACACGUGGUAUCCUGUCUGAAUAUGGGGGGACCAUCCUCCAAGGCUAAAUACUCCUGACUGACCGAUAGUGAACCAGUACCGUGAGGGAAAGGCGAAAAGAACCCCGGCGAGGGGAGUGAAAAAGAACCUGAAACCGUGUACGUACAAGCAGUGGGAGCACGCUUAGGCGUGUGACUGCGUACCUUUUGUAUAAUGGGUCAGCGACUUAUAUUCUGUAGCAAGGUUAACCGAAUAGGGGAGCCGAAGGGAAACCGAGUCUUAACUGGGCGUUAAGUUGCAGGGUAUAGACCCGAAACCCGGUGAUCUAGCCAUGGGCAGGUUGAAGGUUGGGUAACACUAACUGGAGGACCGAACCGACUAAUGUUGAAAAAUUAGCGGAUGACUUGUGGCUGGGGGUGAAAGGCCAAUCAAACCGGGAGAUAGCUGGUUCUCCCCGAAAGCUAUUUAGGUAGCGCCUCGUGAAUUCAUCUCCGGGGGUAGAGCACUGUUUCGGCAAGGGGGUCAUCCCGACUUACCAACCCGAUGCAAACUGCGAAUACCGGAGAAUGUUAUCACGGGAGACACACGGCGGGUGCUAACGUCCGUCGUGAAGAGGGAAACAACCCAGACCGCCAGCUAAGGUCCCAAAGUCAUGGUUAAGUGGGAAACGAUGUGGGAAGGCCCAGACAGCCAGGAUGUUGGCUUAGAAGCAGCCAUCAUUUAAAGAAAGCGUAAUAGCUCACUGGUCGAGUCGGCCUGCGCGGAAGAUGUAACGGGGCUAAACCAUGCACCGAAGCUGCGGCAGCGACGCUUAUGCGUUGUUGGGUAGGGGAGCGUUCUGUAAGCCUGUGAAGGUGUGCUGUGAGGCAUGCUGGAGGUAUCAGAAGUGCGAAUGCUGACAUAAGUAACGAUAAAGCGGGUGAAAAGCCCGCUCGCCGGAAGACCAAGGGUUCCUGUCCAACGUUAAUCGGGGCAGGGUGAGUCGACCCCUAAGGCGAGGCCGAAAGGCGUAGUCGAUGGGAAACAGGUUAAUAUUCCUGUACUUGGUGUUACUGCGAAGGGGGGACGGAGAAGGCUAUGUUGGCCGGGCGACGGUUGUCCCGGUUUAAGCGUGUAGGCUGGUUUUCCAGGCAAAUCCGGAAAAUCAAGGCUGAGGCGUGAUGACGAGGCACUACGGUGCUGAAGCAACAAAUGCCCUGCUUCCAGGAAAAGCCUCUAAGCAUCAGGUAACAUCAAAUCGUACCCCAAACCGACACAGGUGGUCAGGUAGAGAAUACCAAGGCGCUUGAGAGAACUCGGGUGAAGGAACUAGGCAAAAUGGUGCCGUAACUUCGGGAGAAGGCACGCUGAUAUGUAGGUGAAGUCCCUCGCGGAUGGAGCUGAAAUCAGUCGAAGAUACCAGCUGGCUGCAACUGUUUAUUAAAAACACAGCACUGUGCAAACACGAAAGUGGACGUAUACGGUGUGACGCCUGCCCGGUGCCGGAAGGUUAAUUGAUGGGGUUAGCGCAAGCGAAGCUCUUGAUCGAAGCCCCGGUAAACGGCGGCCGUAACUAUAACGGUCCUAAGGUAGCGAAAUUCCUUGUCGGGUAAGUUCCGACCUGCACGAAUGGCGUAAUGAUGGCCAGGCUGUCUCCACCCGAGACUCAGUGAAAUUGAACUCGCUGUGAAGAUGCAGUGUACCCGCGGCAAGACGGAAAGACCCCGUGAACCUUUACUAUAGCUUGACACUGAACAUUGAGCCUUGAUGUGUAGGAUAGGUGGGAGGCUUUGAAGUGUGGACGCCAGUCUGCAUGGAGCCGACCUUGAAAUACCACCCUUUAAUGUUUGAUGUUCUAACGUUGACCCGUAAUCCGGGUUGCGGACAGUGUCUGGUGGGUAGUUUGACUGGGGCGGUCUCCUCCUAAAGAGUAACGGAGGAGCACGAAGGUUGGCUAAUCCUGGUCGGACAUCAGGAGGUUAGUGCAAUGGCAUAAGCCAGCUUGACUGCGAGCGUGACGGCGCGAGCAGGUGCGAAAGCAGGUCAUAGUGAUCCGGUGGUUCUGAAUGGAAGGGCCAUCGCUCAACGGAUAAAAGGUACUCCGGGGAUAACAGGCUGAUACCGCCCAAGAGUUCAUAUCGACGGCGGUGUUUGGCACCUCGAUGUCGGCUCAUCACAUCCUGGGGCUGAAGUAGGUCCCAAGGGUAUGGCUGUUCGCCAUUUAAAGUGGUACGCGAGCUGGGUUUAGAACGUCGUGAGACAGUUCGGUCCCUAUCUGCCGUGGGCGCUGGAGAACUGAGGGGGGCUGCUCCUAGUACGAGAGGACCGGAGUGGACGCAUCACUGGUGUUCGGGUUGUCAUGCCAAUGGCACUGCCCGGUAGCUAAAUGCGGAAGAGAUAAGUGCUGAAAGCAUCUAAGCACGAAACUUGCCCCGAGAUGAGUUCU